AAAUUGAAGAGUUUGAUCAUGGCUCAGAUUGAACGCUGGCGGCAGGCCUAACACAUGCAAGUCGAACGGUAACAGGAAGAAGCUUGCUUCUUUGCUGACGAGUGGCGGACGGGUGAGUAAUGUCUGGGAAACUGCCUGAUGGAGGGGGAUAACUACUGGAAACGGUAGCUAAUACCGCAUAACGUCGCAAGACCAAAGAGGGGGACCUUCGGGCCUCUUGCCAUCGGAUGUGCCCAGAUGGGAUUAGCUAGUAGGUGGGGUAACGGCUCACCUAGGCGACGAUCCCUAGCUGGUCUGAGAGGA
This 303-nucleotide ribosomal RNA is filed under the name Escherichia coli. Its description in RNAcentral is "partial 16S ribosomal RNA". It matches the Rfam family "Bacterial small subunit ribosomal RNA", at positions 1 to 300 of the family's 1533-position model. Lineage: Bacteria; Pseudomonadati; Pseudomonadota; Gammaproteobacteria; Enterobacterales; Enterobacteriaceae. The record is from RNAcentral.